GAUUAACGCUAGCGGCAGGCAAAUACAUGCAAGUUGAACGAGAUAAGUUUUAGCAAUAGAACUUUGAAAGUGGCGCACGGGUGCGUAACACGUAUGCAACCUACCUUUUACUGGGGAAUAGCCUCUCGAAAGAGAGAUUAAUACCCCAUAAUAUAUUGAUAAGGCAUCUUAUUAAUAUUAAAGUUACGGCGGUAAAAGAUGGGCAUGCGGCUGAUUAGGUAGUUGGUGAGGUAAUGGCUCACCAAGCCGACGAUCAGUAGGGGGUCUGGGAGGAUGUCCCCCCACACUGGUAAUGAGACACGGACCAGACUCCUACGGGAGGCAGCAGUAGGGAAUAUUGGACAAUGGGCGCAAGCCUGAUCCAGCCUUGCCGCGUGCAGGAUGAAGGCCCUAUGGGUCGUAAACUGCUUUUGUACGGGAAGAAACCUCACUACGUGUAGUGAGUUGACGGUACCGUGAGAAUAGGGAUCGGCUAACUUCGUGCCAGCCGCCGCAGUAA
RNAcentral lists this ribosomal RNA (499 nucleotides) under uncultured bacterium. RNAcentral's name for it is "partial 16S ribosomal RNA". It matches the Rfam family "Bacterial small subunit ribosomal RNA", at positions 28 to 523 of the family's 1533-position model. The record is from RNAcentral.